CGCUUUUGUCUGCGUACAGUUGGUGAAGUGUCACAGCAGUUACUAAGAACGAAGCAUGACUUGGAUUGUGAUGAAGUAAGAUUAUAAAGUAAGAUUUGAUGGAAGGCAGCCUUCCACCCCUCUUGGGGCUGUUGUGAUUCCAGACUUUCAUUAUGCUUUCUUAUCUCUCAUAAUCUAAAAGGGUUGUCCAAGACAACCAAAGCGUGCACCCUGGUUUCUUUGUACAAUUAUACUGCAAUGUGUGAUUUAAAAAAACAAAAUGAAAGGUUGCAGAUUCGCAUUCAGACAUUGUGUUCUUUUUUGUGCAGUUACCAUUGGGCGUCUCCCGUUAUUCACACAUCAAUUGAAACAAAUAUUGGCAUGACUUUGAUUUUCUUUGAAGAUUAAAGUUGUUAUCUUGAGCUAAUCAAGUAGGUCAGCAGUGACAGAAAGCAUGUGUUACGUUUCGGUGUUGUCAGUGUGUUCUUUUUGGCGUGACUGUUAUGUGUUUCCUGUUUUACUUUGAAAGUCUGUGUUAUCUUAGUCUUUUCAGUUUACGUUUCCCUGUCUCGUCAGUUCUGAGUUGCCCCAGCUGUGUUUCCCUCUUGUUGUCCAUUUUCCUGAUUGCUCCCUCUAGGUAUUUAAACCCUGUGUUUCAGUGUGUCAUGGUCGCGAUCUCCCCCGUGUUGUAAAUAGUUUGGUGUUUUGUUAUUUGUCGAUACUUUCGUUUCGGGAUUUUGGUGGUGAGCUUUAGUGGGGGGUUUUUGUGUGUGUUUUUUUUUUUUCCUUUAUUUUUACUUUUUUUGUGUUGCACUCCGGUUGCCUAGGCCGGGGUGUAACAUAUGGGGGCUCGUCCGGGAUUGCCUUCGCUGGGGGGUCCGGGGACCGCCCCAGCCUUUGUCGUCGCUGGAGGGUCCGUGGGACCGCUCCAGCCUUCAUCCGCCUUCGCUGGAGGGUCCGUGGGACUGCUCCAGCCUUCAUCCGCCUUCGCUGGAGGGUCCGAGGGACCGCUCCAGCCUUCGUCGUCUGCUGGAGGGUCAGUGGGACCGCUCCAGCCUUCAUCGGCUUCGUCUGUCUGGAUCAAACUUUUCACUUGGUGUUAAAUGUUUGAUUUUUGGGUGGGGGGAACUGUUACGUUUCGGUGUUGUCAGUGUGCUCUUUUUGGCGUGACUGUUAUGUGUUUCCUGUUUUACUUUGAAAGUCUGUGUUAUCUUAGUCUUUUCAGUUUACGUUUCCCUGUCUCGUCAGUUCUGAGUUGCCCCAGCUGUGUUUCCCUCUUGUUGUCCAUUUUCCUGAUUGCUCCCUCUAGGUAUUUAAACCCUGUGUUUCAGUGUGUCAUGGUCGCGAUCUCCCCCGUGUUGUAAAUAGUUUGGUGUUUUGUUGUAAAUAAAUAGUUUGUUGUAAAUAGAUUUGUCGAUACUUUCGUUUCGGGAUUUUGGUGGUGAGCUUUAGUGGGGGGUUUUUGUGUGUGUGUUUUUUUUUUUUUUUCCUUUAUUUUUACUUUUUUCGUGUUGCACUCCGGUUGCCUAGGCCGGGGUGUAACACAUGAGUCUAUGGCAUUAAAGUGUAGUAGGUUAGCAUUUUCAGAACUACCCUUACUCAGGUUUUUUUCAGUUAGAGGAGAUCAAUGCCUGCCUACCAUGCCUACCAGUUAAUUUUACAAGGCUGGUUGAGCCAAAAUACUCAAAUGGAUGUUGUUCAGUUGGUCUAGCCCCUCAGUUUGGUCUCAGUUGCCUCCAAAGCCUGAAAUAUGGGACUGCAGUUAAACACUCUCUUUCAACCCUUGUGAGGAUUUAGUGUUAUUCAUGGUGUAGUCAUUUGUAUUUCUAGUUCUCUUAGUUAUUUUCUGGUUAUAUUUGUAGUCUCUGGUCUUUAGGUUUUGUUUCUGUGCCUCUCCUGUGUUACAUCUAGUCACCCUUGUCUCUAUGU
Astatotilapia calliptera (eastern happy) is the source of this 1908-nucleotide long non-coding RNA. Lineage: Eukaryota; Metazoa; Chordata; Actinopteri; Cichliformes; Cichlidae. The record is from Ensembl.